Long non-coding RNA from Juglans regia (Persian walnut), 787 nucleotides. RefSeq lists it as uncharacterized. The transcript has 3 exons. Lineage: Eukaryota; Viridiplantae; Streptophyta; Magnoliopsida; Fagales; Juglandaceae. The record is from RefSeq and is a predicted model, not a curated record.
ACCUCAAAACAACAAGAAAUACUAUAUCUCUCCCCUUCCAAGCUAACUUCACCUUUAUCAGUACCUUUCUCUGAUCCUAAAAGAACGUGAUCAGUCUUCUGGCCAGUCCUAUACUCAAUACUCAUCAUCAAUCUUAGCUGAAAAACCAUCACAAUCAUGAAGCAAACGGUGGUGAUCAAGGUGGAGAUGGAUGGCCACAAGUCCUUUUUUGGUGAGCUGGAUGGACAAAAAGUCCGUUCCAAAGCCUUGAAGAUUGCAGUCGGCAUUUCAGGGGUGGUGGCGGCAUCUUUAAAAGGAGACAAAAAGAACCAAAUAGAAGUAAAAAGAUAAAUGAAUGAUACAAUGAAACUUACAAAAUUACUCAGGAAGAAAGUGGGAUUUGCAGAAAUAAUUACUGUGGUCGAAGACAAAAAAGAGGAGAAGAAAGAAGAAUCGAAAGUAGAAUACAAGGCGUGGCCUUGUAAUUAUAUACCUUCCUACUCCUUUCCAUUUUAUGUGCCGUCAGGGAUUACAUGGCUGCAAAUUUAAAUACUUGGCUGAUAUUUGAGGUUAACAUGUUGCAAAUUUAAAUAAUGUUGAUCUUUAGAGGAGCGGAUGAGGUUGCUCUUAUUCAUUUGGCAUGCAUGUUGUUUAUUUAUUUAUUAGUAUUUUGUUUUAACAAGCUGUAUUAACAUGAAUGUAAUUUUGUUUUAACAUGUAUUAUUCUAUUUUGGAGAAUAUGGGCCUUUAGGGAAGCGUCUUAUUCAUUUAGCAUGCAUGCUAUUUGUUUUUUUAUUAAUACUCUGUU